GACGAACCGUGCGAACGUUGUUCGGAAUCACUGGGCUUAAAGGGCGCGUAGGCGGGUCAGCAAGUCCGGGGUGAAAUCUUUCGGCUCAACCGGAAAAGUGCCUCGGAUACUGCUGGUCUUGAGGGAGGUAGGGGUUUGUGGAACUUCUGGUGGAGCGGUGAAAUGCGUUGAUAUCAGAAGGAACGCCGGUGGCGAAAGCGACGAACUGGACCUCUUCUGACGCUGAGGCGCGAAAGCUAGGGGAGCAAAC
RNAcentral lists this ribosomal RNA (250 nucleotides) under uncultured bacterium. Its description in RNAcentral is "partial 16S ribosomal RNA". It matches the Rfam family "Bacterial small subunit ribosomal RNA", at positions 524 to 773 of the family's 1533-position model. The record is from RNAcentral.